UACGGAGGGUGCAAGCGUUAUCCGGAUUCACUGGGUUUAAAGGGUGCGUAGGCGGGCAGGUAAGUCAGUGGUGAAAUCUCCGAGCUUAACUCGGAAACUGCCAUUGAUACUAUCUGUCUUGAAUAUCCUGGAGGUGAGCGGAAUAUGUCAUGUAGCGGUGAAAUGCUUAGAUAUGACAUAGAACACCAAUUGCGAAGGCAGCUCACUACGGGAUUAUUGACACUGAGGCACGAAAGCGUGGGGAUCAAACAGG
RNAcentral lists this ribosomal RNA (253 nucleotides) under uncultured bacterium. Its description in RNAcentral is "partial 16S ribosomal RNA". It matches the Rfam family "Bacterial small subunit ribosomal RNA", at positions 524 to 776 of the family's 1533-position model. The record is from RNAcentral.